ACAUGCAAGUCGAACGGCAGCACGGGAGCAAUCCUGGUGGCGAGUGGCGAACGGGUGAGUAAAGUAUCGGAACGUGCCCAGUCGUGGGGGAUAACGCAGCGAAAGUUGUGCUAAUACCGCAUACGAUCUAUGGAUGAAAGCGGGGGAUCGCAAGACCUCGCGCGAUUGGAGCGGCCGAUAUCAGAUUAGCUAGUUGGUGGGGUAAAGGCUCACCAAGGCGACGAUCUGUAGCUGGUCUGAGAGGACGACCAGCCACACUGGGACUGAGACACGGCCCAGACUCCUACGGGAGGCAGCAGUGGGGAAUUUUGGACAAUGGGCGAAAGCCUGAUCCAGCCAUGCCGCGUGCAGGAUGAAGGCCUUCGGGUUGUAAACUGCUUUUGUACGGAACGAAAAGACUCCUUCUAAUAAAGGGGGUCCAUGACGGUACCGUAAGAAUAAGCACCGGCUAACUACGUGCCAGCAGCCGCGGUAAUACGUAGGGUGCAAGCGUUAAUCGGAAUUACUGGGCGUAAAGCGUGCGCAGGCGGUUAUAUAAGACAGAGGUGAAAUCCCCGGGCUCAACCUGGGAACUGCCUUUGUGACUGCAAAGCUGGAGUGCGGCAGAGGGGGAUGGAAUUCCGCGUGUAGCAGUGAAAUGCGUAGAGAUGUGGAGGAACACCAAUGGCGAAGGCAGCCCCCUGGGUCGAUACUGACGCUCAUGCACGAAAGCGUGGGUAGCAAACAGGAUUAGAUACCCUGGUAGUCCACGCCCUAAACGAUGUCAACUGGUUGUUGGGAAUUAACUUUCUCAGUAACGAAGCUAACGCGUGAAG
This 815-nucleotide ribosomal RNA is filed under the name uncultured bacterium. Its description in RNAcentral is "bacterial SSU rRNA". It matches the Rfam family "Bacterial small subunit ribosomal RNA", at positions 53 to 864 of the family's 1533-position model. The record is from RNAcentral.